UUGAGGUACAGCUCAGAGGUAAAGUGUUUACCUAACAAGUACAAGACCCAAGGUUCAAUCCCUAGCAAUGAAA
RNAcentral lists this transfer RNA (73 nucleotides) under Marmota monax (woodchuck). Its description in RNAcentral is "tRNA.Val". Lineage: Eukaryota; Metazoa; Chordata; Mammalia; Rodentia; Sciuridae. The record is from RNAcentral.